GAUGAACGCUGGCGGCGUGCUUAACACAUGCAAGUCGAACGUGAGAGGUAGCAAUAUCUUGAAAGUGGCGAACGGUGAGUAACACGUAGGUAACCCGCCUCGGAGUGGGGGAUAACAGUUACGAAAUGACUGCUAAAUACCGCAUGAAUCCAUCAUUUGGGGACAAACGGUGGAGAAAACUCUGGUGCUUCGAGAGGGGCCUGCGGCCGAUUAGCUAGUUGGUGGGUAAAGGCCUACCAAGGCGACGAUCGGUAGCUGGUCUGAGAGGACGAUCAGCCACACGGGAACUGAGACACGGUCCCGACUCCUACGGGGGCAGCAGUGAGGAAUAUUGGGCAAUGGGCGGAAGCCUGACCCAGCAACGCCGCGUGGAGGAUUGAAGGCCUUCGGGUUGUAAAC
This 399-nucleotide ribosomal RNA is filed under the name uncultured bacterium. RNAcentral's name for it is "bacterial SSU rRNA". It matches the Rfam family "Bacterial small subunit ribosomal RNA", at positions 28 to 430 of the family's 1533-position model. The record is from RNAcentral.